This 503-nucleotide ribosomal RNA is filed under the name uncultured Nostocoides sp. RNAcentral's name for it is "bacterial SSU rRNA". It matches the Rfam family "Bacterial small subunit ribosomal RNA", at positions 1 to 526 of the family's 1533-position model. The record is from RNAcentral. Lineage: Bacteria; Bacillati; Actinomycetota; Actinomycetes; Micrococcales; Intrasporangiaceae.
UAGAGUUUGAUCAUGGCUCAGGACGAACGCUGGCGGCGUGCUUAACACAUGCAAGUCGAGCGAUGAAGCACCUUCGGGUGUGAAUUAGCGGCGAACGGGUGAGGAACACGUGAGAAAUCUGCCUUCAACACUGGGAUAACUCCGGGAAACCGGGGCUAAUACCGGAUAUGAAACCUGCGGGCAUCCGCGGGUUUGGAAAGUUUUUCGGUUGAAGAUGAUCUCGCGGCCUAUCAGCUUGUUGGUGAGGUAAUGGCUCACCAAGGCGACGACGGGUAGCCGGCCUGAGAGGGCGACCGGCCACACUGGGACUGAGACACGGCCCAGACUCCUACGGGAGGCAGCAGUGGGGAAUAUUGGGCAAUGGAGGAAACUCUGACCCAGCGACGCCGCGUGCGGGAUGAAGGCCUUCGGGUUGUAAACCGCUUUCAGCAGGGAAGAAGCGAAAGUGACGGUACCUGCAGAAGAAGCACCGGCUAACUAUGUGCCAGCAGCCGCGGUAAUUC